This 254-nucleotide ribosomal RNA is filed under the name uncultured bacterium. RNAcentral describes it as "partial 16S ribosomal RNA". It matches the Rfam family "Bacterial small subunit ribosomal RNA", at positions 524 to 777 of the family's 1533-position model. The record is from RNAcentral.
UACGAAGGGGGCUAGCGUUGCUCGGAAUUACUGGGCGUAAAGGGCGCGUAGGCGGAUGUCUAAGUUGGGGGUGAAAUCCCGGGGCUCAACCUCGGAAUUGCCUUCAAAACUGGAUAUCUUGAGUUCGGGAGAGGUGAGUGGAACUCCGAGUGUAGAGGUGAAAUUCGUAGAUAUUCGGAAGAACACCAGUGGCGAAGGCGACUCACUGGCCCGAUACUGACGCUGAGGCGCGAAAGCGUGGGGAGCAAACAGGG